ACGGUUAUAAAUCAACAUAUUGAUUUAUAAGCAUGGAAAUCCCCUGAGUGAAACAACGAAUUGCCGUGUGUAGUCUUUGCCCAUCUCCCACGAUGGGCUUUUUUUUAA
RNAcentral lists this non-coding RNA (108 nucleotides) under Escherichia coli. Its description in RNAcentral is "antisense sRNA RprA". It matches the Rfam family "RprA RNA". From Rfam's summary of the family: Translational regulation of the stationary phase sigma factor RpoS is mediated by the formation of a double-stranded RNA stem-loop structure in the upstream region of the rpoS messenger RNA, occluding the translation initiation site. Clones carrying rprA (RpoS regulator RNA A) increased the translation of RpoS. The rprA gene encodes a 106 nucleotide regulatory RNA. Lineage: Bacteria; Pseudomonadati; Pseudomonadota; Gammaproteobacteria; Enterobacterales; Enterobacteriaceae. The record is from RNAcentral.